CGCGCAGUUCCCCGCUCCUUUCUCCUCCCCCGCACCGCAGCCGGGAGCUCAUUAAUGCCCAUUUAUAUGCUCGUUUCACACAUGAAAGUAUCACAUUAAUGAGCUCCGGGAGCGGGCUGGGAGGGGGGUUUGCGCACCUUAUAGCCCGAAAUUCCAGUUCCCAUCCCCAGCGCCGCGACUCUGCGGGACACCCGAGAGCAGCGCGGCGGGGGCGGCCCGGGGGAGCUGAGGAGCUGGGGCAGGGCAGGAGAGUUUGGGACGGGGCUGCGCCUCGGGCAGGGGGUUCUCCGGGCUGCGGGUACAGCGCUGUGCCCCGGGGAUGCCCCACGGCCCGGGGGGAGCCGCGUGAUGCCCAUCCCAGGGGUCACGCACCCCAGGACGCGGAUCGGCCGCGCUCAGCAGCCGCUGCGCAUCCGAGAGAAGCGCUGCAGUUCCGCGGCCUCGGCCGCCACCGCGUGGGCGCAGCCGGAGGCGCAGCUCCCCCCUCAAACAACCCGUCGGGGCAGCGCGGCCCGAGCCCCGCUCGGCUCCAGGUGGGUUCCGCAGCCCGGGGUUGGGCUCAGCUGGGCGCGUUGGGCAGCGGGAGCGGAUCGCCAGCACCUGGGGCAGGGAGGGGGCAUAAAAACCAACGGGUGGCAGUUCAACCUCCUCCCCUGGGCUCCCUUCUGUCCUUGGAGCUUUGCUUUUGCUCUGAGGAGAACUCCCGUGGUUUCUUUGGGGACGUCAGUUGAGUUGCAGUGCUUGACCUUAAUGGCAUCUCGUGUACGUGCAGGGAGAAAACAGAACUGUUUUGGUUUUGUGGGAAGCACAUCUGGCAGCUGCGUAUUUCUUAUCGGCCUGCAGAAAACACUCCGAACAGAAAGAUUGCUAUUGAACGCUGAUGGGCUGCCUAAAAUGACCUCCAGAGCCUACGGAGUGCACCAUGGAUUUAUAAAAGAUCAAUGAUAGCCCAUUAUGUUCUGGGUUGUAUCCGAGUUCAUCAUCCCAGGGACUCUGUGCUUCCUGAAGGAGACCCGUGGAAAUGUGGUGGACUCAAAACAGGGACAGAGUAAGAGCAGAACGCUGCUUCUCUGGUGUUAUUUAUCUCUGCAGCUGAACAAGCUGAGGUGGGGAUGGUGGCUGGGAAAUGUAAAGGCAGGGGGGAACGGCCCUGGCUGUUCUUUGAGCACUGGAUUGAAAUCAAUGUAGAUAAUGCACUUGGAAGGACUGCUUUGUUUAUUGGUUUUCAGUCAACUGCCGGGCUGUGUUUCGCAGUGGUGAUGUGAUGGUGAUGUCUUUGCCAGUAAGAAUAUACCUGGGGGAAAAUAAGUCCACGAUUCCUUGCAAGCAACAUUUGGGGAGCUUAGUCUGGGAUGCCUCAGUUUUCUGUACCAAGGAGUGCAUAUCUAGGGCUGCUGUGUCUCUCUCCUGGCAGUACAACGUGCUUCUGAGCUCUCUGCAGCCCAUUCUGAAGGCCCAACAAACCCUAUUUCAACACAAAAUAUGUUGGGCAGUGUGAGAUGCCACCCCUCACUCACUGCAGCCCUACACACACACCCCAGCACAGCAGAGCUGUUCUCUAACCACCGCUCUCCCUCUUCUUUAGCAGCCUCGAUUUUGGCCCCUGGAAAUCAGUGAUAAACUCCCAGUGACUCCAAUGCUGCUGAAUUAGGCCUAGGGUCCAAUUAUGCUCAUUAAAAGCACAAACCAAUAAUUCACGGUUCGAAGUAGGCUUGCUAUGGACAACACCAGUGGGGAUUUAAUGCGCUAUACUGGAGACGAUGCUUAAAUUUUCCUAUUUAUAUAUGCUUUGGGAGAACAAUUUUAUGGGUAAAUAUGAUCUUCAUUAAUA
Molecule: non-coding RNA, 1831 nt
Organism: Coturnix japonica (Japanese quail)
Lineage: Eukaryota; Metazoa; Chordata; Aves; Galliformes; Phasianidae
Source: RefSeq, a predicted model, not a curated record